GGACCAUUAGCUCAGUUGGUUAAAGCCAACCGCUCAUAACGGUUAGGUCACAGGUUCGAGUCCUGCAUGGUCCA
This 74-nucleotide transfer RNA is filed under the name Enterococcus faecalis. Its description in RNAcentral is "tRNA-Met". It matches the Rfam family "tRNA". From Rfam's summary of the family: Transfer RNA (tRNA) molecules are approximately 80 nucleotides in length. Their secondary structure includes four short double-helical elements and three loops (D, anti-codon, and T loops). Lineage: Bacteria; Bacillati; Bacillota; Bacilli; Lactobacillales; Enterococcaceae. RNAcentral also lists the same sequence under 2 other names. The record is from RNAcentral.